GAUGAACGCUAGCUACAGGCUUAACACAUGCAAGUCGAGGGGAAACGACAUCGCAAGCUUGCUUUUGAUGGGCGUCGACCGGCGCACGGGUGAGUAACGCGUAUCCAACCUGCCCAUCACUUGGGGAUAACCUUGCGAAAGUAAGACUAAUACCCAAUGAUAUCUCUAGAAGACAUCUGAAAGAGAUUAAAGAUUUAUCGGUGAUGGAUGGGGAUGCGUCUGAUUAGCUUGUUGGCGGGGUAACGGCCCACCAAGGCAACGAUCAGUAGGGGUUCUGAGAGGAAGGUCCCCCACAUGGGAACUGGGACACGGUCCAAACUCCUACGGGAGGCAGCAGUGAGGGAUAUUGGUCAAUGGGCGAGAGCCUGAACCAGCCAAGUAGCGUGCAGGAAGACGGCCCUAUGGGUAGUAAACUGCUUUUAUAAGGGAAUAAAGUGAGGGUCGUAACUCUUUUUGUAUGUACCUUAUGAAUAAGGACCGGCUAAUUCCGUG
RNAcentral lists this ribosomal RNA (492 nucleotides) under uncultured bacterium. Its description in RNAcentral is "partial 16S ribosomal RNA". It matches the Rfam family "Bacterial small subunit ribosomal RNA", at positions 28 to 507 of the family's 1533-position model. The record is from RNAcentral.